This 253-nucleotide ribosomal RNA is filed under the name uncultured bacterium. RNAcentral's name for it is "partial 16S ribosomal RNA". It matches the Rfam family "Bacterial small subunit ribosomal RNA", at positions 524 to 776 of the family's 1533-position model. The record is from RNAcentral.
UACGGAGGGUGCAAGCGUUAUCCGGAUUCACCGGGUUUAAAGGGUGCGUAGGUGGGCUGGUAAGUCAGUGGUGAAAUCUCCAGGCUUAACUUGGAAACUGCCAUUGAUACUAUCAGUCUUGAAUACCGUGGAGGUCAGCGGAAUAUGUCAUGUAGCGGUGAAAUGCUUAGAUAUGACAUAGAACACCAAUUGCGAAGGCAGCUGGCUACACGAAUAUUGACACUGAUGCACGAAAGCGUGGGGAUCAAACAGG